UCUUUACAUUCUGAGUUCAAAUUACGCUGAGGUCAACUUUGCCUUUCAUCCUUUCGGGGUUUAUAAAUUAAGUACCAGUUGUGUACUGGGGUAGAUCUAUUCGACUGGCCCAUUCCCCAAAAAUUUUUGGCCUUGUGUCUAGAGUAGAA
Molecule: long non-coding RNA, 149 nt
Organism: Octopus sinensis (East Asian common octopus)
Lineage: Eukaryota; Metazoa; Mollusca; Cephalopoda; Octopoda; Octopodidae
Exons: 3
Source: RefSeq, a predicted model, not a curated record